CUGAUUAGUGGCGCACGGGUGAGUAUACCAUAGAUAAUGUACCCCUUAGUUCGGGAUAGCCACUGGAAACGGUGAUUAAUACCGGAUACUCCUUCUCAUUAUAAGAUGAGUCGGGAAAGUUUUUUCGCUAAGGGAUCAGUCUAUGUCCUAUCAGCUAGUUGGUGAGGUAAUGGCUCACCAAGGCUAUGACGGGUAUCUGGUUUGAGAGGAUGAUCAGACACACUGGAACUGAGACACGGUCCAGACUCCUACGGGAGGCAGCAGUGAGGAAUAUUGCACAAUGGAGGAAACUCUGAUGCAGCAACGCCGCGUGGAGGAUGACGCAUUUCGGUGUGUAAACUCCUUUUAAGAGGGAAGAUAAUGACGGUACCUCUUGAAUAAGCACCGGCUAACUCCGUGCCAGCAGCCGCGGUAAUACGGAGGGUGCAAGCGUUACUCGGAAUCACUGGGCGUAAAGGGUGCG
RNAcentral lists this ribosomal RNA (463 nucleotides) under uncultured Sulfuricurvum sp. RNAcentral describes it as "bacterial SSU rRNA". It matches the Rfam family "Bacterial small subunit ribosomal RNA", at positions 88 to 571 of the family's 1533-position model. The record is from RNAcentral. Lineage: Bacteria; Pseudomonadati; Campylobacterota; Epsilonproteobacteria; Campylobacterales; Sulfurimonadaceae.